Molecule: transfer RNA, 76 nt
Filed under: Bifidobacterium bifidum
Lineage: Bacteria; Bacillati; Actinomycetota; Actinomycetes; Bifidobacteriales; Bifidobacteriaceae
Description: tRNA-OTHER
Source: RNAcentral
GGUCCGGUAGCUCAGUUGGCUGGAGCACUUGGUUAACACCAACCGGUCGGACGUUCGAGUCGUCCCCGGACCACGA